This 492-nucleotide ribosomal RNA is filed under the name uncultured bacterium. Its description in RNAcentral is "partial 16S ribosomal RNA". It matches the Rfam family "Bacterial small subunit ribosomal RNA", at positions 29 to 507 of the family's 1533-position model. The record is from RNAcentral.
AGUGAACGCUGGCGGUAGGCCUGACACAUGCCAGUCGAACGGCAGCACAGUAAGAGCUUGCUCUUACGGGUGGCGAGUGGCGGACGGGUGAGGAAUACAUCGGAAUCUACUUUUUCGUAGGGGAUAACGUAGGGAAACUUACGCUAAUACCGCAUACGACCUACGGGUGAAAGCAGGGGAUCUUCGGACCUUGCGCGAUUGAAUGAGCCGAUGUCGGAUUAGCUAGUUGGCGGGGUAAAGGCCCACCAAGGCGACGAUCCGUAGCUGGUCUGAGAGGAUGAUCAGCCACACUGGAACUGAGACACGGUCCAGACUCCUACGGGAGGCAGCAGUGGGGAAUAGUGGACAAUGGGCGCAAGCCUGAUCCAGCCAUACCGCGUGGGUGAAGAAGGCCUUCGGGUUGUAAAGCCCUUUUGUUGGGAAAGAAAAGCAGCAGGUUAAUACCCCGCUGUUCUGACGGUACCCAAAGAAUAAGCACCGGCUAACUUCGUG